AGCGAACGCUGGCGGCAGGCUUAACACAUGCAAGUCGAGCGGGCACCUUUCGGGGUGUCCGCGGCGGACGGGUGAGUAACGCGUGGGAACGUGCCCUCUGGUUCGGAAUAACUCAGGGAAACUUGAGCUAAUACCGGAUACGCCCUUUUGGGGAAAGGCUUGCUGCCGGAGGAUCGGCCCGCGUCUGAUUAGCUAGUUGGUGAGGUAACGGCUCACCAAGGCGACGAUCAGUAGCUGGUCUGAGAGGAUGAUCAGCCACACUGGGACUGAGACACGGCCCAGACUCCUACGGGAGGCAGCAGUGGGGAAUAUUGGACAAUGGGCGCAAGCCUGAUCCAGCCAUGCCGCGUGAGUGAUGAAGGCCUUAGGGUUGUAAAGCUCUUUUAUCCGGGACGAUAAUGACGGUACCGGAGGAAUAAGCCCCGGCUAACUUCGUG
Molecule: ribosomal RNA, 437 nt
Filed under: uncultured bacterium
Lineage: Bacteria
Description: partial 16S ribosomal RNA
Rfam family: Bacterial small subunit ribosomal RNA
Source: RNAcentral